CACAUAUCAGAUAUUAAACUGAUAAGAACAGAUACUACACUUGAUCUUAGCCAAAAGGCCGAGAAAGGUAUGAGUUACUAUGGAGCCUUGCCCCUGCUCUUAUACCCUUCCGGCCGGUUCCGCCGAGCUGCGCAAGCGAGGUGGGACUAA
Molecule: ribosomal RNA, 150 nt
Filed under: Triticum aestivum (bread wheat)
Lineage: Eukaryota; Viridiplantae; Streptophyta; Magnoliopsida; Poales; Poaceae
Description: partial small subunit ribosomal RNA
Source: RNAcentral